Paramuricea clavata is the source of this 286-nucleotide non-coding RNA. NCBI's taxonomy places the organism in Eukaryota, Metazoa, Cnidaria, Anthozoa, Malacalcyonacea, Plexauridae. The record is from the annotation of a GenBank genome assembly.
GUCAGGCAUGAUUCAUCCCAGCUAGUCGAGCUGGCCCGGCGGCUCCCGUGUUGAACCUGUAUCGCAUACAUGACUUGCCGUCAAUUAGCCCUAUUCACAUUAGAGACGGACAAGUCGUCUAGACGAACAAAUCGUCUCUCAAAAAUCGUCUUCACAGACGGACAAGUAGUCGAGACGGACAAGUAGUCGUCUAAAAUGUUGUCCGACACGUUUUCACAUCUGGUAUUUGUCCGACUAAAAGACGAUUUUGAGACGAUUUGUUCGACUAGACGACUUGUCCGUCUUC